GACGAACGCUGGCGGCGUGCUUAACACAUGCAAGUCGAACGGAAAGGCUCCAGCUUGCUGGAGUACUCGAGUGGCGAACGGGUGAGUAACACGUGGGUAAUCUGCCCUGCACUCUGGGAUAAGCCUGGGAAACUGGGUCUAAUACUGGAUAUGACCUUUCUCCUUAUGGGGUUUGGUGGAAAGUUUUUCGGUGUAGGAUGAGCCCGCGGCCUAUCAGCUUGUUGGUGGGGUGAUGGCCUACCAAGGCGACGACGGGUAGCCGGCCUGAGAGGGUGAUCGGCCACAUUGGGACUGAGAUACGGCCCAGACUCCUACGGGAGGCAGCAGUGGGGAAUAUUGCACAAUGGGCGGAAGCCUGAUGCAGCGACGCCGCGUGAGGGAUGACGGCCUUCGGGUUGCAAACCUCUUUCAGCAGGGACGAAGCGUAAGUGACGGUACCUGCAGAAGAAGCACCGGCUAACUAUGUG
Molecule: ribosomal RNA, 467 nt
Filed under: uncultured bacterium
Lineage: Bacteria
Description: partial 16S ribosomal RNA
Rfam family: Bacterial small subunit ribosomal RNA
Source: RNAcentral